UGGGGAAUAUUGCGCAAUGGGGGGAACCCUGACGCAGCCAUGCCGCGUGAAUGAAGAGGGCCUUCGGGUUGUAAAGUUCUUUCGGUAUUGAGGAAGGUUGAUGUGUUAAUAGCACAUCAAAUUGACGUUAAAUACAGAAGAAGCACCGGCUAACUCCGUGCCAGCAGCCGCGGUAAUACGGAGGGUGCGAGCGUUAAUCGGAAUAACUGGGCGUAAAGGGCACGCAGGCGGUUAUUUAAGUGAGGUGUGAAAGCCCUGGGCUUAACCUAGGAAUUGCAUUUCAGACUGGGUAACUAGAGUACUUUAGGGAGGGGUAGAAUUCCACGUGUAGCGGUGAAAUGCGUAGAGAUGUGGAGGAAUACCGAAGGCGAAGGCAGCCCCUUGGGAAUGUACUGACGCUCAUGUGCGAAAGCGUGGGGAGCAAACAGGAUUAGAUACCCUGGUAGUCCACGCUGUAAACGCUGUCGAUUUGGGGAUUGGGCUUAGAGCUUGGUGCCCGUAGCUAACGUGAUAAAUCGACCGCCUGGGGAGUACGGCCGCAAGGUUA
This 547-nucleotide ribosomal RNA is filed under the name uncultured bacterium. RNAcentral describes it as "bacterial SSU rRNA". It matches the Rfam family "Bacterial small subunit ribosomal RNA", at positions 355 to 896 of the family's 1533-position model. The record is from RNAcentral.